This 2834-nucleotide unclassified non-coding RNA is filed under the name Pomacea canaliculata. Its description in RNAcentral is "uncharacterized LOC112576505, transcript variant X1". The record is from RNAcentral. Lineage: Eukaryota; Metazoa; Mollusca; Gastropoda; Architaenioglossa; Ampullariidae.
UAAAGCAAAUCACUUCAAUCUUCUUUUUUAUCUAACAUAACUUAAAGUUUUAAACACGCAUGCAGUCUUCCUCAAUAGAAACGAUUUGUUACGAAAUGAUUUAUUGAAAAAGAGGUGUUCAUGCGACUGUUACAAGGGGAUAAGGGGUCACGCUUUAUUGCAGCGAGACGAACAUCUAAACCGGAUGCUUUGGGCUUACAUAUUGCGCAUGCGCGAAUAAUGUAAACACCAUCAUGGCGUUCGAAGAGUCUGUUUAUUAUGGAGUUUGGAAGAUUGUGGAGUGUGUGUCUUUGGCUGGGGUCGUUGAAACGACCGGCAUCGAGGGGACUGAGUUUCGAUUGGAUGAGAAUGGUGAUGUCACAUGGAGAGUAUCAGAGGAUGCUGAACCCAUGCUGUUUUUCUCUUGUGAAACUUAUGAGAUUACACCAGAAACAGGAAGUGGAAGCUCAAGAGAUUCAGCUUUGCUAAAGUUUAUUGGGACUUACGCAGGACAUGUUAUAGAGUUCAAGGCUGAAGUAACAGAUGAUCUCAUGCUUCUAACAUAUGAAAAAUGUUGUAUGCUGCAGUGUCAGAAGAUUUCUUCUAACGAGCCAACAGGGGAUCUACCAUACACUUAUGUCAGUGCCUUAGAGCAGGGUUUUUUCUCUGAUCUCUCCAUCAAAGCUGAAUCGGGGAAGGAGUUCCUUGUGCAUUCUGUGAUUCUGAGGAUGAGCCUGCCUGAAAUGGACUGGCUAAGCAAUCCCCCCCCACUCACAGGCCUGCCAGAAGAGGUGCUGCAGACAAUGCUGCACUAUCUAUACUGCGAAUGCCUGCCUCCAGGCCUCACUGAGACCACUGCCAAAGCAUGUGUGAAAACACUGGGCAAAGUGCAAGGCUUUGCCCAAUUUUCCCACCUCUGUGAAACCUUUCUGAAGAACACAAUGUUAAAGCAACAAAUACAGACAUUGAUUUCUGAAAUGCACAAUUGUUUCGAUCGCAUAAUUGAAUUAUUCAGUGGUCGAGCAAACCUCAACAACCCAGAGUCUCCCAUCAGUACAGAAGCUAAUAUCUGGAACAAUCCAGCCAAACUGUGUUACACUGUCAGGCAAGGGCUGAAAGAGGCAGCCAUUGCUUCUGCUAAACUGUUGCUUCUGUGUGAUCUGUUUUCAAAACGGAAGUGUGAGCUAUCACGACAAGAAAGGCAUGAAAUUAUGAAGCAAGCCAAGUCCAGAAUGCCAGUGUUUCUGAAACAACUCCACAAGUUCUUGGUGGUGCUGAAGCAGCACUCACAGACUCUUACUGCACACCAGCGCUAUGAUUUCGCCUCUUAUCUCGUGCCUGAGAUUGAAGUCAUACUGGACACAGUUUCACGUUUUGCGGUUGAAACCAAAGUGGCUCUGGAACAAGUGAUCAGCUCAAGCAAUGCUGAGCAGAGCCACAACGAACACUCUGACAGACAUGAGAAAGGGGAAAAGAGCAAGAGGGGGAACAUUGGGGAAGUUCUUGGCAGGACAUUAAAAAAUGCAUUGCAUAUGAGAGAACUGAAGAAACUGAAGAAGUUUCAUGACAAGACAACUGCCAGUUUCGUUGAGCUGAUGAAUAGAAAAGAGGACUUUAGCAUCAUGACUGAGGGGGACAAAGUGAGGGCCAUCUCAAAGUACCUGGAGCAGUUAAUAGAUGAGCUACCAGUAACAGUUCUGCGUCUUGAGGAACUGAUCGGAGCACUAGAGCAGAAAGUGCCAUGGACAGAGUGGAAGUACCUAUUCAAGAUGGCAACAUCGAAAAUAUCUUGGGGCCUAAGCAAGGUGCAGUCCAAUCGAGCGUCCCUGCAGCCUCUAAUUGAUGAAGUGUGUGACAUUGUCAGGAGUGACCAGUUUUCAGCAGCUGUUGCUACUCUUGGGCUGCGGAAUAUUGCUGCAGAAAACAGCCAGGAGGGAGGAGCAUGCUCUGAUGGAGGCCGGGCUGGCAAAUCACGAAUGUAUCCGCUUAACCCUGUGGAAUCCUUGUGUGUGUCACCUUUCCCAAAAGAUAGCAAAAUGGCUGGGCGUGCGCUUGAUCUUUUCAGAAAAAGAGAGGGUUCUGACAUGGUCUUUGAAAUCGUCAGCACUGGAGAGGGCGGAGACAUUGUGAUUGACCAUACUGGAGAUAAACCAGUGACAACUGUGGAAGAAGGGGUCAUAGAGGUCGACCACAUUCCAUGCCACAGGGUUAUUGUAGCUAGUCGCUGCGAUUGGUUUCGACGAGCCCUUCUCAGUGGCAUGCGAGAAUCUAUAGACAAGAAAAUUGUCGUCCAUGACAUACAACCUCAUGUGUUUCGACUCUUCCUUGAAGCUCUUUACUCAGGGCAGCUUGAUACGUCUAGCCUGACUACUGAACACCUUGUAGAUAUGAUGACACUGUGUGACAGAUAUGAAAUGGACAGUCUAAAAAUCAGUUGUGAACAUGCUUUGAAGCAUCAUGUAGAUGAAGACACAGCGCUGUACCUACUGAGCCUUGCAGAUCAGCUUGGAUGCACUUCUCUGCAGGAUUAUGUACUGAUUUAUAUUGCAAACCACCCCCAGCUGGUUCAUAGUGAUGUCUAUGAAGACCUCCCAGACAAACUGAAGGAAGAUGUUGAGGAUGCAAUAGCUUGGAAAGGUCUUGAAAGUGAGCGGUGCAGGGAGCCUAGCAGAGGGAUGGACGUGACACCUAGUUCCGUCUCCAGUAUGAGUGAGCUGGAGGACCUGGUGGGCAACAUAGAGGUAGCUGACCGCACGUAUGCACCUGCUGGACACCUUUAACGUGGAGUUUUGUUGGUUUUCAUAUUCAAGCCAUUCUUCUUUUGCAAGGCUUGAAGUUUUCCUGCCCAGGAACUA